AUGCAGCAUUAUUGUGCCCUUUGUUUUUUUGCCAGAAUCUGCAGCAGAUGUGCACGUACCCUAAGGGGGGCUAUGGGUCACUCACAAGGGGGCCCAAUUCAGAUUCUUGCCAUGGGGCCCAGUGAUUUCUAUGUACGCCCCUGUUUGUAGCGAUGAGUGUGGCGCUGCUAGGGCCCUUAUUACUCACUGUCCCCGUGCCUUCAGCUCCAGGACAUAAUGCACACAGGAGCUCAGGCUGAGCAAUGUCAGGUCAGUACAGAGCUGCAAGAGCGGCGGCAUCUUCUGGAGCAGGAGAAACCCUAUGUGCGCCCCUGACCCAAGACUUGGGCGUGUGAUGGCCCAGGCCAAUCGGAGAAGAAAAGGAAGGUGAACAAGUGGAAUCCACGGAGACGUCACCUGUACUUUGUUAGAAAGUAGAGUGACUCUAAAUUGAUUCGGAGAAAGGAAGGCUGGGGGUGCGAUGUCCUCUUUUUUUGAAAACCACAAUAUGGUCAACCUCAGUAUAUGACUAUGAACAAGAAAUAAUCCAGCGCUCAGAGAUGGACUGAAGCGAAGCCGCAGUGAGGUACGGUUAUACAAUCACUGUAGCUAAGAGGGUCCCGACAGCACA
This is a long non-coding RNA of Bufo bufo (common toad), 610 nucleotides long. RefSeq lists it as uncharacterized. The record is from RefSeq and is a predicted model, not a curated record. The transcript has 3 exons. Lineage: Eukaryota; Metazoa; Chordata; Amphibia; Anura; Bufonidae.